Molecule: long non-coding RNA, 216 nt
Filed under: Citrus sinensis (sweet orange)
Lineage: Eukaryota; Viridiplantae; Streptophyta; Magnoliopsida; Sapindales; Rutaceae
Description: long non-coding RNA (CSIN_LNC003467)
Source: RNAcentral
GAUUCCGGCCACCUCACCGGCCGAGCUUGGUAUCGAUCUGAAGCUUGGAAGCCGAUCGUCAUAACCCAGUCGUCAUCGUCGCCAGAAAACGGCAAGAACACCGACGAUCGAAGCUCGAAAAGACGCGGCAAAAACCCAUCGUCAUCGCCAUCUAUUUCGCCGGAGUUUGGGCAUGCCCCCAGCUGGGUUCUACUCCUCACGUCACCAGCAUCAUUU